Sorex araneus (European shrew) is the source of this 367-nucleotide non-coding RNA. NCBI's taxonomy places the organism in Eukaryota, Metazoa, Chordata, Mammalia, Eulipotyphla, Soricidae. The record is from Rfam.
UCUGUGUCUGUUCCCUUCAGUCGUUUUAGUAGAUCCAGGUAAAUAUUGAUUUACCCCCAGUUUGCCUCCUUCCUCUGGCCAUUUGCAGACUAAGGAACUGGCCUCCAAAGAGACUUGAUUUUUGUGUUACUUUCCAGCCCCUUCUCCCCCCCUUUCAUCCUCCAAGAACCAUUGUAAAACUCGCAGUGACAAAGAGAGUGGGUAGGGUUUGAGGCCCCUGUUCCUGAGGACUUGAGUGCUGUUUUACAUACGGGUCAGACACGGCUAGAGGCCAAGGUCAAGUUGAAAGCUGCAGUCUAGCCAGUGUGCGAACUGCAAGCCCGGAGACUCAGGACCCCCUGUGCUGUACAAGGCCCACCUCGCUCUA